This 75-nucleotide transfer RNA is filed under the name Candidatus Mailhella merdigallinarum. Its description in RNAcentral is "tRNA-Thr". It matches the Rfam family "tRNA". From Rfam's summary of the family: Transfer RNA (tRNA) molecules are approximately 80 nucleotides in length. Their secondary structure includes four short double-helical elements and three loops (D, anti-codon, and T loops). The record is from RNAcentral. Lineage: Bacteria; Pseudomonadati; Thermodesulfobacteriota; Desulfovibrionia; Desulfovibrionales; Desulfovibrionaceae.
GCCGGGAUAGCUCAAUGGCAGAGCAGUUGCCUUGUAAGCAUCAGGCUGUGGGUUCAAGUCCCAUUCCCGGCCCCA